GAUGAACGCUGGCGGCGUGCCUAAUACAUGCAAGUCGAGCGAACAGAUGAGGAGCUUGCUCCUCUGACGUUAGCGGCGGACGGGUGAGUAACACGUGGAUAACCUACCUAUAAGACUGGUAUAACUUCGGGAAACCGGAGCUAAUACCGGAUAAUAUAUUGAACCGCAUGGUUCAAUAGUGAAAGACGGUUUUGCUGUCACGUAUAGAUGGAUCCGCGCCGCAUUAGCUAGUUGGUAAGGUAACGGCUUACCAAGGCAACGAUGCGUAGCCGACCUGAGAGAGUGGUCGGCCACACUGGAACUGAGCCACGGUCCAGGCUCCUAAGGGACGCAGCAGUAGGGAAUCUUCCGCAAUGGGCGAAAGCCUGACGGAGCAACGCCGCGUGAGAGAUGACAGUCUUCGGAUCGUAAAACUCUGUUAUUAGGGAAGAACCAAUGUGUAAGUAACUAUGCCCGUCUUGACGGUACCUAAUCAGAAAGCCACGGCUAACUACGUG
RNAcentral lists this ribosomal RNA (497 nucleotides) under uncultured bacterium. RNAcentral describes it as "partial 16S ribosomal RNA". It matches the Rfam family "Bacterial small subunit ribosomal RNA", at positions 28 to 507 of the family's 1533-position model. The record is from RNAcentral.